GUGGGGAAUUUUGGACAAUGGGGGCAACCCUGAUCCAGCCAUGCCGCGUGCGGGAAGAAGGCCUUCGGGUUGUAAACCGCUUUUGUCAGGGAAGAAAUCUUCUGGGCUAAUACCCCGGGAGGAUGACGGUACCUGAAGAAUAAGCACCGGCUAACUACGUGCCAGCAGCCGCGGUAAUACGUAGGGUGCGAGCGUUAAUCGGAACUACUGGGCGUAAAGCGUGCGCAGGCGGCUUUGCAAGACAGAUGUGAAAUCCCCGGGCUCAACCUGGGAACUGCAUUUGUGACUGCAAGGCUAGAGUACGGCAGAGGGGGAUGGAAUUCCGCGUGUAGCAGUGAAAUGCGUAGAUAUGCGGAGGAACACCAAUGGCGAAGGCAAUUCCCUGGGCCUGUACUGACGCUCAUGCACGAAAGCGUGGGGAGCAAACAGGAUUAGAUACCCUGGUAGUCC
Molecule: ribosomal RNA, 450 nt
Filed under: uncultured bacterium
Lineage: Bacteria
Description: partial 16S ribosomal RNA
Rfam family: Bacterial small subunit ribosomal RNA
Source: RNAcentral